AGCUACGGGGGCAAUCUAGCUGUGAUAUUUGUCAGCCCAUUGAGGACCAGGGUUGAUUUGACUGAUCUGGCUGGCUAGGCUGGUAUCCCCUUCCUCCCUCACCACUCUAUGUGUGUCCUCCCUGAAGCUGUGCAUUUGGUUUGAGAGGAUGACCUUCCCAGUUAGAGGCGUAAUAUUUUUUGAUCAAGGGCAUGCAUAGGAGUAGCUGCGCUCCCCUGCUAGAACAAGCUUCCAAGAUCCAAUUGUUUAGUUCUGAUUUUUUUGUGUGGAAAACAUUUGUAAUU
This 284-nucleotide small nuclear RNA is filed under the name Sarcophilus harrisii (Tasmanian devil). RNAcentral's name for it is "7SK RNA". It matches the Rfam family "7SK RNA". From Rfam's summary of the family: 7SK was discovered as an abundant small nuclear RNA in the mid-70s but a possible function has only recently been suggested. Two independent studies have found that 7SK RNA binds the CDK9/cyclin T complex (known as elongation factor P-TEFb). P-TEFb activates transcription by phosphorylating the C-terminal domain of RNA polymerase II. The record is from Rfam by way of RNAcentral. Lineage: Eukaryota; Metazoa; Chordata; Mammalia; Dasyuromorphia; Dasyuridae.